RNAcentral lists this ribosomal RNA (424 nucleotides) under uncultured bacterium. Its description in RNAcentral is "bacterial SSU rRNA". It matches the Rfam family "Bacterial small subunit ribosomal RNA", at positions 361 to 776 of the family's 1533-position model. The record is from RNAcentral.
AUUUUGCACAAUGGAGGAAACUCUGAUGCAGCAAUGCCGCGUGAGUGAAGAAGGCCCUUGGGUCGUAAAGCUCUUUCGGCCGGGAAGAAGGGUUUCCAAGCGAAUAGGUUGGGAAUUUGACGGUACCGGAAGAAGAAGCACCUGCUAACUUCGUGCCAGCAGCAGCGGUAAUACGAAGGGUGCAAGCGUUGUUCGGAAUUAUUGGGCGUAAAGGGUGCGUAGGCGGAAACAUAUGUCGAUUGUGAAAGCCCUGGGCUCAACCUGGGAAUUGCAGCCGAAACUGUGUUUCUUGAAUGCCUGAGAGGAUGGCGGAAUAACCGGUGUAGUAGUGAAAUACGUAGAUAUCGGUUAGAACACCUGAGGCGAAGGCGGCUAUCUGGCAGUGCAUUGACGCUGAGGCACGAAAGCGUGGGGAGCAAACAGG